Molecule: unclassified non-coding RNA, 362 nt
Filed under: soil metagenome
Description: partial contains 5.8S ribosomal RNA, internal transcribed spacer 2, and large subunit ribosomal RNA
Rfam family: 5.8S ribosomal RNA (bases 1-120)
Source: RNAcentral
GAUGAAGAACGCAGCGAAAUGCGAUAAGUAAUGUGAAUUGCAGAAUUCAGUUAAUCAUCGAAUCUUUGAACGCACCUUGCGCUCCUUGGUAUUCCGAGGAGCAUGCCUGUUUGAGUGUCAUUAAUAUAUCAACCUUCUCUUUUUUGAGUUGUUUGGAUGUGGGGGUUUGCUGGCCUCUUAAAUGAUUCAGCUCCCCUGAAAUGCAUUAGCAGAACAACCUGUUCAUUAGCGUGAUAAUUAUCUAUGCUAUUGAAUGUGAGGGCAGUUCAGCUUUCUAACCGUCCUUGGACAAUUCAUCAUUAAUGUGACCUCAAAUCAGGUAGGACUACCCGCUGAACUUAAGCAUAUCAAUAAGCGGAGGA